Molecule: ribosomal RNA, 497 nt
Filed under: uncultured bacterium
Lineage: Bacteria
Description: partial 16S ribosomal RNA
Rfam family: Bacterial small subunit ribosomal RNA
Source: RNAcentral
GAUGAACGCUGGCGGCGUGCCUAAUACAUGCAAGUCGAGCGAACGGACGAGAAGCUUGCUUCUCUGAUGUUAGCGGCGGACGGGUGAGUAACACGUGGAUAACCUACCUAUAAGACUGGGAUAACCUCGGGAAACCGGAGCUAAUACCGGAUGAUAUUUUGAACCGCAUGGUUCAAAAGUGAAAGACGGUCUUGCUGUCACUUAUAGAUGGAUCCGCGCUGCAUUAGCUAGUUGGUAAGGUAACGGCUUACCAAGGCAACGAUGCAUAGCCGACCUGAGAGGGUGAUCGGCCGCACUGGAACUGAGACACGGUCCAGACUCCUACGGGAGGCAGCAGUAGGGAAUCUUCCGCAAUGGGCGAAAGCCUGACGGAGCAACGCCGCGUGAGUGAUGAAGGUCUUCGGAUCGUAAAACUCUGUUAUUAGGGAAGAACAUAUGUGUAAGUAACUGUGCACAUCUUGACGGUACCUAAUCAGAAAGCCACGGCUAACUACGUG